Molecule: transfer RNA, 77 nt
Filed under: Burkholderiales bacterium
Lineage: Bacteria; Pseudomonadati; Pseudomonadota; Betaproteobacteria; Burkholderiales
Also listed under: 2 other names
Description: tRNA-Pro
Rfam family: tRNA
About the family: Transfer RNA (tRNA) molecules are approximately 80 nucleotides in length. Their secondary structure includes four short double-helical elements and three loops (D, anti-codon, and T loops). Further hydrogen bonds mediate the characteristic L-shaped molecular structure. tRNAs have two regions of fundamental functional importance: the anti-codon, which is responsible for specific mRNA codon recognition, and the 3' end, to which the tRNAs corresponding amino acid is attached (by aminoacyl-tRNA synthetases). tRNAs cope with the degeneracy of the genetic code in two manners: having more than one tRNA (with a specific anti-codon) for a particular amino acid; and 'wobble' base-pairing, i.e. permitting non-standard base-pairing at the 3rd anti-codon position.
Source: RNAcentral
CGGGGUGUGGCGCAGUCCGGUAGCGCAGGGCGUUUGGGACGCCAAGGUCGCAGGUUCGAAUCCUGCCACCCCGACCA